Molecule: ribosomal RNA, 442 nt
Filed under: uncultured Rhodospirillaceae bacterium
Lineage: Bacteria; Pseudomonadati; Pseudomonadota; Alphaproteobacteria; Rhodospirillales; Rhodospirillaceae
Description: bacterial SSU rRNA
Rfam family: Bacterial small subunit ribosomal RNA
Source: RNAcentral
AGCCUACGGGAGGCUGCAGUGGGGAAUAUUGGACAAUGGGGGCAACCCUGAUCCAGCAAUGCCGCGUGAGUGAUGAAGGCCUUCGGGUUGUAAAGCUCUUUUGCCAGGGACGAUGAUGACGGUACCUGGAGAAUAAGCCCCGGCUAACUUCGUGCCAGCAGCCGCGGUAAUACGAAGGGGGCAAGCGUUGUUCGGAAUUACUGGGCGUAAAGGGCGCGUAGGCGGCUUAUCAAGUCAGGCGUGAAAUUCCCGGGCUCAACCUGGGGGCUGCGCUUGAUACUGAUGAGCUUGAAUGCGGGAGAGGAUAGUGGAAUUCCCAGUGUAGAGGUGAAAUUCGUAGAUAUUGGGAAGAACACCGGUGGCGAAGGCGGCUAUCUGGCCCGUAAUUGACGCUGAGGCGCGAAAGCGUGGGGAGCAAACAGGAUUAGAUACCCGGGUAGUC